Molecule: ribosomal RNA, 201 nt
Filed under: uncultured Oscillospiraceae bacterium
Lineage: Bacteria; Bacillati; Bacillota; Clostridia; Eubacteriales; Oscillospiraceae
Description: partial 16S ribosomal RNA
Rfam family: Bacterial small subunit ribosomal RNA
Source: RNAcentral
GGGGCGAGAGAAAUAUUUGGGGCAAUGGGGGGAAACCCUGACCCAGCAACGCCGCGUGAAGGAAGAAGGCCUUUCGGGUUGUAAACUUCUUUUACCAGGGACGAAAAACAUGACGGUACCUGAAGAAAAACCCACGGCUAACUACGUGCCAGCAGCCGCGGUAAUACGUAGGUUGCAAGCGUUGUCCGGAUUUACUGAUGG